This 133-nucleotide non-coding RNA is filed under the name Fragilariopsis kerguelensis. The record is from RNAcentral. Lineage: Eukaryota; Bacillariophyta; Bacillariophyceae; Bacillariales; Bacillariaceae.
CCUUUUUCUCCUAUCGUUCCAUAUUGUUUAUUCCUUUGUCUUGUCCUUUUCCAACACGAACGAUCCGAUCCGAGAUCCCGCACAGAAAAGAAGAAAAAUGGGAAAAAGUCAACCAAAUUGAUCUUUUGAAAUA